This 429-nucleotide ribosomal RNA is filed under the name Acidobacteriota bacterium. RNAcentral describes it as "Acidobacteria bacterium partial 16S ribosomal RNA". It matches the Rfam family "Bacterial small subunit ribosomal RNA", at positions 355 to 776 of the family's 1533-position model. The record is from RNAcentral. Lineage: Bacteria; Pseudomonadati; Acidobacteriota.
UGGGGAAUUUUGGACAAUGGGGGAAACCCUGAUCCAGCCAUCCCGCGUGUGCGAUGAAGGCCUUCGGGUUGUAAAGCACUUUUGGCAGGAAAGAAACGUCAUGGGUUAAUACCCCGUGAAACUGACGGUACCUGCAGAAUAAGCACCGGCUAACUACGUGCCAGCAGCCGCGGUAAUACGUAGGGUGCAAGCGUUAAUCGGAAUUACUGGGCGUAAAGCGCGCGCAGGCGGUUCGGAAGGAAAGAUGUGAAAUCCCAGAGCUCAACUUUGGAACUGCAUUUUUAACUACCGGGCUAGAGUGUGUCAGAGGGAGGUGGAAUUCCGCGUGUAGCAGUGAAAUGCGUAGAUAUGCGGAGGAACACCGAUGGCGAAGGCAGCCUCCUGGGAUAACACUGACGCUCAUGCACGAAAGCGUGGGGAGCAAACAGG